Molecule: ribosomal RNA, 253 nt
Filed under: uncultured bacterium
Lineage: Bacteria
Description: partial 16S ribosomal RNA
Rfam family: Bacterial small subunit ribosomal RNA
Source: RNAcentral
UACGAAGGGGGCUAGCGUUGUUCGGAAUUACUGGGCGUAAAGCGUGCGCAGGCGGCUAUCCAAGUCAGUGGUGAAAGCCCGGAGCUCAACUCCGGAACUGCCAUUGAAACUGUUUAGCUCGAGUACGGGAGAGGUGAGUGGAAUUCCCAGUGUAGAGGUGAAAUUCGUAGAUAUUCGGAAGAACACCAGUGGCGAAGGCGACUUACUGGACACAUAUUGACGCUGAGGUGCGAAAGCGUGGGGAGCAAACAGG